This is a non-coding RNA of Acanthosepion pharaonis, 98 nucleotides long. The record is from the annotation of a GenBank genome assembly. NCBI's taxonomy places the organism in Eukaryota, Metazoa, Mollusca, Cephalopoda, Sepiida, Sepiidae.
UUCAAACACUGGCUUCCGUAUGAUCACCGACGUUAAGCAACGUCGAGCCUUGUCAGUAAUUAGAUGGGCGACUGCUCGGGAAUAACAGGUGCUGUAAG